UUCAAAGUUUGAAAUGACAUAACAUCAAGAUAGGAAAUACUCAAAUAUGCUCUUCAAAAUCUUCAAAAAGUUGAGGUUUCGAUAAUUUCCACUGAAAGAUCAAAAGUAACCAAAACUAUAGGUUUCUUGGUAUCAUAAAACCAAUGAAAUUAAAUCAUCCUAGGAAAUAUGUCUACUACAAUCUUACGGACGGGAACCAGUUCAAUAGUAACAUGAGAUGGAACAAAAUUAUUCAAAGGAAUAAGUUGCUCAACAUCAUUGGCAUAAAAGAAACAACUUCAACAAAAGCAAAUAUUUCUUGAGUUGCAUCUAGCAAUUUGAAAGAAACUUUAUUUUUU
Molecule: long non-coding RNA, 338 nt
Filed under: Carica papaya (papaya)
Lineage: Eukaryota; Viridiplantae; Streptophyta; Magnoliopsida; Brassicales; Caricaceae
Description: long non-coding RNA (CPAP_LNC009511)
Source: RNAcentral